UGAGUGGCUGGGAGGGGUAGAGCCAGGAUCCACCCCUUCCCAGACCUCAUUUAAGGGCUGGCAGUAGAGGUGAGAGUAUCUCUUGCUGGAGAUCUCUGUGUACCUGAGGCCUUUCUAAGGUAUUGUUGUAUAUGCCAUCUCACGUUUUCAUAGAAACAGAGGAUUGUUUGGUUUGGAAGGGACCUUACAUAUCAUCCAGCUGCAACUCUCCUGCCAUGGCUGCUGAAAAAAUCAACGGCCUGUUUUGCAGGGUAAAAUUGAGAACUAAUAGUUUCCGAGCAGCUGCUGCACUUGCAUGAAA
Molecule: long non-coding RNA, 301 nt
Filed under: Gallus gallus (chicken)
Lineage: Eukaryota; Metazoa; Chordata; Aves; Galliformes; Phasianidae
Description: lncRNA (ENSGALG00010025551.1)
Source: RNAcentral